AAAAGAGAUUUUUGCAGCGUACAUAGUAAAAGCCCCCUGCAAUAGACCUUUUAUUUUGCAGCGUACAUGGUAAAAGCCCCCUGCAAUAACAUAUUUGUAAUUUUUUUCGCUGCAACUUUAACUCAGACCAAACAUUUCUACCUCAAACCUCAUGACCAAUUUCGCAGCGAAUAUCCCACUCUCAUUACUCCCUUCUUCUUCUCUCGGCUUACCCUGCCUCUCGCCGGUGGUUCUCACCAGUGGUCGUCGCCGCGUGGUCUCGCCCGUCGCCGGUGGUACUCUAGCAAGAGUCUAUUUAAUUUCCUCACCUCUCACCGGUGGUUCCCUGCUCGAAAAACCCCCGCAAAAGGUAUUCCCUGCUCGAAAAAACAACCGGCGAAGUGAUUCCCUGCUCGGAAAACUAAGCUUCUUUGCUCGGCCGGUUCGCGAACCCUGUUCUCCGUCAAUCCUCGCUGCGGCAAGUAACUUUCUCCCCUGUCCCUUUUUAUUUUCGUUUUCAAAAUUAGGGUUUGUUCAUUUUUCAUUUUUGCAGAGAAAGCCAAAGAAAUUGUUGGCUGACAAGAUUAGGAGAAAAUACAUACGUUUAUCUCGGAGACUUCCUCCACCCUUUUGAAGGGCGCAUAUACCAGUAAAAAACCGUACUGUUAUAAUACUCGAGACAGAUACUGGAGAACAAUACGAAGCCAAUUAUCUGCCUCAAUAUCGUGGACUCAGUGGUGGGUGGAAAAGGUUUGCCAUAGUUCUGAAAUUGGAAGGAGAUACUGUUGUUUUUCAACUAGUUGAACCUGCCAAAUUUAAGUCUACCUCUUCUAGAAUCAAAUCACUAAACUAGUUGAAGCUGAGGAUAAAAGCUGCUAAUGAAGCUGAGGCGGCUUGCCAACGGCGUCUCUCUGUUGCUGAGGCUGAAAUAGCUGAUUUAAGAUCCAAAUUGGAUACUACUGAAAGCAUGGAAGGCAAGCAUUCGUUUCUGUGCCUAGCACUUUUCCUGUGCCUGGAGAAGAACUGAUGUUUUGAUGAUUGUAAGAGGGGCAAGGAGAAGCUUGUUUGUGAUGCUGCUCAAGUACUGCUUUAUUUCGGAGUUGAACAAAUCAUCUAUGUUUCUGAAAUGACGCACUGCUAAAUAAAGGUCUACACUCCGAGGAAUGCGCCUAUACUAGUGAGGAAAUUGAUGUGGUUCGUGAGCAACGGGCUAAGUGUUUUACCCGCAAGUAUUUACUAUUGGCUUGAGCGCGCUUGAUCGAGGUGGUUUAGUUGUUAUAGAACAAUCGUUUACAUUAAAAUGUAUGCGUACAUUGAAAUUGGAACGUAUAUUUGAAUGUAGUACGUGCACUUUGGUUUUGGGAUAUAUAUAUAUGUAUACAAAACACCAGUUAUUAUUUUUUAUAUUUGUUGA
Long non-coding RNA from Spinacia oleracea (spinach), 1393 nucleotides. RefSeq lists it as uncharacterized. The record is from RefSeq and is a predicted model, not a curated record. Lineage: Eukaryota; Viridiplantae; Streptophyta; Magnoliopsida; Caryophyllales; Amaranthaceae. The transcript is spliced from 5 exons.